Molecule: long non-coding RNA, 506 nt
Filed under: Cavia porcellus (domestic guinea pig)
Lineage: Eukaryota; Metazoa; Chordata; Mammalia; Rodentia; Caviidae
Description: lncRNA (ENSCPOG00000030538.1)
Source: RNAcentral
GUCAAAUUGCUCUAUUGAUGUACAACUUUAGAUACAGUGCAGGUUUUCCUGAAACAUUAGCAAGGAAGAAGAUGUCCCUAGAAAAUGCAGUUCUAAGAUAUCUAAUUUGCUGACUCAGACCCUUUCCCACUUCUUCAAUUUCUUAUAAAGACCUCAUCUUCUCCCCCUCACAGCACAAUUGCUACCUUGGAAACUUGCCCACAACCCCUCGUGACAUUGUAUCCUGAUCUAAGUAAACUCUUGGCUUUAUUUUUACUCUGCUUUUGGUUCUUCAUGACUGACAAGUUACACAUGUUUUCCAGCCAGCCUGUCACGCCUGAAUCUCCUGCCUCAGUUCUCCUAGUUGUCUUUUGAAUUGUUUUACAUUUAGACUGCAUUCGUACAUUAAAAUUUGCUUAUUUGCCUUUUCAAUCUCUAGAUACUCUUGCUCUUUUUUUCCUUCUUAUAACUUAUAUGAAGAAGUAAUUCAGUUGUUCCUUCUAAACUUUAGGAGUUUAGGAAUAGAC